This 3171-nucleotide long non-coding RNA is filed under the name Equus caballus (horse). RNAcentral describes it as "lncRNA (ENSECAG00000055388.1)". The record is from RNAcentral. Lineage: Eukaryota; Metazoa; Chordata; Mammalia; Perissodactyla; Equidae.
GUGGAUGGGUAGGAGAGGACAGGGAUGUGGACAAGGAUGACACGGGCACCUGCCCCUGGGCUCCAUCUGACUGUCGCCAUGCAAGCGUGCAGGCCCAUUGUUCUUUGAUUGCUUGGAUUUUCAGAGGAAGCCAGACAUCUGGAAGUUUUUAAAAUGGGAAAUAUUCUAUAAAGAUUUAAAAUUGAAAUGAAUGAAAAAAUAUUGGCAACGAAUUCAAUUUUCAAAGAUAACGGAGACAAACAGAACACCUUUGGGGGCUGGAUUCAACACGUCGGCCACUGGUUCUGAGACUCUGGGCUGGUCAGAGCUGGUUUUGCUGGAGCAAAUGUAACUGGGAAGGAAGGAGUGAGGGUCAGUGGGACAACAUGAGGCCCCUCUGCACGUGGCCUUGAUGGGAUUUGCAGACGGCUUUCUGUAGCUACUAUUUAAGGGUUAAGCAUCGUUUCAUACAGACAGUACUUUGUGGCCGAGAGUAGAGCUUCAACAAGGAAUUUCUACGUUUACCGAUAGAAUCGUGUUGCUGUUCUCAGUCGAAAGAAAAAAAUAAUGGUUCAAGAAGAAGGAAAUCUUCUGUGGUUCUUCAUUUAACUCCUUCUCCUUUGGAAACCAAAGAUGAAUCAUUUUCUCUUAAGUUGAAGUUAGAGUUGGAGUUUCGAGUGACCUGCGGGUCACAGCGCACAGUCUUGAGGAAAUUUGCACACCCCAGGACUCAGGCAGUGGGGUUUUCUACUCCGGUUAAGCCAGCCACACAGGUCGACUGCUUAAACUCCCCGUGUUCUCGGCAGAACCCAAUGCUGCCCACCUGGAGGAAGUGCCGCUGCCGUUCAGACGGAGCCAGCAGCUGGAGGGGAUGUGUGGGCUUGGGUACACCCUCUCCAUCUAAAGGAAGUGUGGGGAGAAGCUGUGGGCAUCCGUAUGUAGGGUCCCUGGCCUCUUGCAGAGUCUAGCAGGGUUGCUCUUCUGAUGCCCAUAGAGUGGGAUGGGACCAGGUAGUCAGUCCUGAGCUGGCAGCAGAAGUGCAUCAUUUCUGAGUGGAGCACUCACUUGCCAGGGCAAGACCCACCAGAGCUCUCUUUUCCCUGAGCCCUGUUUGGGAUGGAGCUGCUCCAUUAGCCUGGUUCUCUGGGUCACUGAGAAUCCCCCAGCUGUCCUUCAGUGGCCUGGGUAUGAGUGAGAAAUAACCCUUUGUUGUUCAGGCACAGAGACCUGGGGUCAGUUUAUUACGCAGCAUAGCCUAGUCUAUUCUGACAGAUACAUGGACCAGCUCUGCCAUUCACUGUGCCUAACUCUCAUUGGUCAGUGAUCCAUGAGGUGACAGCCAACAUCUCACCAUUUCCUGGAGCUCCUGCCCGCUGAGCCACCCAAGUGGCCUCUUAAUAACCAAAUCUCAAGAAGUUGACUCUUUGACCAGGUUCCCCACUGCUUUUCUGGGGGACCCUGGGGACCCAUGUUCUGAGACCCUGCUGGUGGUCAUUUGCACAGCAGCGGGCAGUCUCCCUUGAACCUCAGCUCAGUGCCUUUGCAGGCCACCUCUGAACAGCUUGAGAUGGCUUCUCAGACCGCUUCCACCCUCUGCACCUGGCUUCUCCCCAGUGUGGACACAGCCCCUUCCAUUAACUACUCAAAGCACAGCAAAGAUGGAGCUGUCACAGCUAACACACCUUGAGUGAAGGCCAGGCCAGCACGGAGAUUAUGAUGCAGAAAAAAUUUAACAGGGACUUCCAGCUGUGCUUUCCCCAGCAGGGUCCCCACUGGCUCCAUCUGCCCUUGGUUCUCCCCUUGCUGCCAUGUUUUAGAGGCCUGUCCCCUCCCUCCCAGACUGGGGCUGCCAAUGACCCUGCCCUCCUGUCCCAGAACCCCGCCCCCAAGUGCUAUGAGAGAGAACAGGGGUUCCUCCUCAGCCCCUGAGUCCCGCUGGUCUCCCCAUUGUGACAAUCUUCUGACUUAUAAAUCUGCCUUCAGCAAAGGCAGGCUUUGAGGCUUUUAUUGCAUGCGGCAUCCUAGGUCCUGGGUAUCUCCAACGUUCCAUCCUCCAAGAGGGUUUCAAGUUUACCUUGUACAAUGAUUAAGUGUUUUAUUAUUUUUUUUCCAAAACAGAGUAGCAAUCUGUCUUCAACGAUGAGUCGAAUUGGCCAGCUAGAGAGAGAGGGACACUGCCACCACUUUACAUGGCGUCCACCACCUUUCCGGCUGUACGUUCUACUCCAAGGCGUGAGGACAGGCAUCUGCCUUGUUCUUCUGCACUGGGGAUGAAGGUGCCCAGACGGCACCGCACCUGCCCUCCCAGAUCUCCUUUCCCAGCACCUGGGUUGUAGGAAGAUGUGACAGCUUUGCUGUCCCAGCACCUCCCUGGACUGGAGGUGGACCUCCUGCCCACGACAAGGCAUCUGCUAUCCCAGGACGAGGAGCUUCGGGAGCCCAAGGACACCUGGUUGGAUUUCGUUUGGACUUCAUCGCAUUUGCAGCCUCUUAAGAAUGGAAAGGAAUGUUUGUGUCAGCCCUGAUCCUUGCUUCCCAAUGCAGGGGAGAGGGGUGCGGCUUGCGGCCUCUAGUACAGUACAGCAUUGCACGUUAGAAAUGUGGCAAAGCUGCACCGAACAACAUUGGGACAACAGAGAGAGGACAAAGAUGACUGAGGACCUUUGACCCGAGCACACCAUUGUUAUCCCUUGUCUGCAUUCUCUUGCCAUCUUUUUUCUUUACAUCAUUUCACAUCGCAACCCAAACAUUUUCCAUGCUAACAUAGAGUGUUCUUAACCUUCUUUUGAAUCAUUUGUAAUUUACCACUACUUGAGUCAUCACUCCAACUAGACAUUGUUAUGGGUUAAAUUGUGUCUCCCCUGAAUUCAUAUGUUGGAGUCCUAACUCCCAGAAUGUGCCCUUAUUUGGAGAUACGGUCUUUAGGGAGGUAAUAGAGUUGAAAUGAGGUCAUUAAGGUGGGUUCCAAAUCCAAUGACUGGUGUCCUUAUAAAAACGAGAAAUUUGGACCCAGAGACAGACAUGCAUAGAGGGAAGACGAUGUGAAGAUAUGGGGAGAAGACAGCCAUCCACAAGCCAAGGAGAGAGGCCUGGAGCAGAUUCUCCCUCACAGCCUCAGAAGGAACCAACCCCGCUGAUAUCACAGUUCCGGCCUCUAGAACUGGGAGACAAUAAAGUCCUACUGUUUUAAGC